CGACUCUAUUUUCACUCUCUUUGUUACAACACAUGAUUCUCCAUUAUGACCUGACAACUAACAAGAGACAUUAAGUGAAACACAUUGACAUGAAUGUCAACUCUGCCAACAAAUAAUUAGUUAUACUGGGGCAAUGAUCAAAUUCACCUCCGGCUCCAAAAACCUAUAAGGCAUAGGGCAAAAUUUAACAAGGAUACUAAAUAUUACAAGCUACAACAGGGUAUCGCUAGUUUCAUCUCGGUCCCAAUAGCCUCCAGCACCCAGCCGAAACAGAUCGAGCCACCAUCUUCUUUAUCUCCGGUGGCUACAGAAUAGCAAAAGGAUAGAGCACUAUUGAUUACAUGGUUGUUUCAGCGAACUGCGACAUGAAAAAUGAUGUUAUUCGCUCAUGCUUCCUACUCUGCCAACUACGACCAUAUCGUACCCCUGAAAUCACUUAAUGUAGUGGAACUCCUUUUCUGUGACAACUUUGCAAGAAGACAAAUAUGUAUUCUUCCUCCUUUUUUGUACUCCACCAUCAUGUGUCACCAUCUUCAAAUCCGAUGAACCUUCUAGUGAUUCUCAUAAUCAUCUGCUGAUAGACACCUCAGUCAUACUACUAAAGAUGUGUGCAUGUCGUUAUAGACAUAUACAUAUCCUCACUUUGGAAUAAGCAUAGAGGUAGACAUCAACACGUUGCAAGGAACAAAGUUUUCUAUCUGAGAGAGAAGCAAACAUAUUUAAGACCGCUCAUAACAAAUGCCAGUAAUUUCCAUGCUUUAAAAUCAACAAUGCGUCAGUGAAUCAUCUAGAAAGUUAUAUGCUCAUUAUAUAGUGUUUCCUACAAAUACACAACAAUUCUUCCAGUAUCAUUGUUAGAGAUGUGCUACUGUUAGUUGACAUAUCAAAUUAAUACUAAGACAUCUAUAAAUCCAAGUUCACAUGAUAGUGUUGCCAGUUUAUAUCCAACAAAUUUUAAAACCACAAUACCACAUACUGAAGAUUAUGUUGUUUAUUUCUUUCACUAUUUUUAUAACAAAUAGUGAUUUAGGAGAGAAAUAAACAAUGUAAUAUUUUGUGGGAACUUUUGCAGUCGACGAAAAGCUUGAUCAUUACAACAUAAUGGUGCUGGAUUGGAAGAAAAAGUUCACUUAAUAGGUCAGAUGCGCCAUGCAUAGGAGUGUCGAGGGCACACCAGAAUCAAUGAAUGGCACGAUGAAAAUAAUUAAACUUGUUUUUUAUUAGUUCUCAUCUACUCAGAAAGGUGUCACAAGGUGUGGUAAAAUGUCAUUCAGUUUCACAAAGGCAUGCAUUCGAGCUAGUGCUGACAAACUUUGCUGCCUUUUUCACACUUGCUUUCCGCAUCUCCACUCUAGGAUCAAAACACAUUCCCAGUAAACAUUUGGAAUUUUAAGUUUGUCCGAGAAGGAGUAAACUCACUAAACUACAAAUACAAGCACAAAGCAUGUCCAUAUCUCUGUACAAAAGACAUAAUGCAGUACAUGUAUCAGUUUGGAUACACAUGCUUCAGUCAACUUGACCAUGACUAACGCCGUGGUCAUUUUAUCCUACAAGCAUGGUCGGAAGUGCACUCUUUUUAAACUAUGUCAGCUCUCGCGGAAAAGGAAAAAUCACUCUGAACUUGUUUUUCCUAGCAUUUUUUCAAAAAAAAAGAGCUGGAUUUCAUCAAUGGUCAUGAUUCUUCUCAGGAUUAUGGGACAUAUUAAACAGACAAGCUUCACAUGGUAAAAAGCUCAUAGAAAAGGGUAUUAACAUUUGUAUGUUUGUGAAAACCAAUUCAGAUUGCUAAUUAUAAUGUGAACCUUUGGUGAAGCAACGUGAUCAGCACUUCAUGAGCUGCAACUAAAUCAUGUAUGGUGUUUUGUGUCCUUCAUAAAUCAGUCUAUAAUUCUGCCCAGUAAAUUUUAACACCACUUGGUAGAUCAUGCAGGAGAAAAAUUGCAAGUGUACAGUAAAGUUAGGCCAUAAUUCUGCCCAGUAAAGUUAGGCCAUAAUUUUGCACAACAGUGCAGUAUUACUAAAGAAUAAGGCACCCCAUAACUAAACAGAAAACACAAAACAAAGCAGAAAGAGACAAGUAAAGAGGCACAUACCUAGCAUAAUGUACUGACAUUGUAGUUACAGAAGCAUAAUUGUAUAAACUUGGGCUUUGGCAAGAUAAUAGCAGGUAUGCCCAUUGAGAAAAACAUGUAGCAAGCUUCCAAUCUACCACCAAGGAUCACGUUUGAUUGGCACAUUAAAGUUCUUUGGAGCUAUACCAAGGAUAAUCACGUCUUUGUCUAGCGUCUACCCAGUUUCAGUAAAUUAAAACAGGUUGAUUGUUACGGUCUUGUAUGUUGUCAC
This 2343-nucleotide long non-coding RNA is filed under the name Triticum aestivum (bread wheat). Its description in RNAcentral is "long non-coding RNA (TAES_LNC020369)". The record is from RNAcentral. Lineage: Eukaryota; Viridiplantae; Streptophyta; Magnoliopsida; Poales; Poaceae.